Molecule: small nuclear RNA, 164 nt
Organism: Suncus etruscus (white-toothed pygmy shrew)
Lineage: Eukaryota; Metazoa; Chordata; Mammalia; Eulipotyphla; Soricidae
Product: U1 spliceosomal RNA
Exons: 1
Source: RefSeq, a predicted model, not a curated record
AUAUUUACUUGUCAAAGAAGAUACCAUGACCACGAAGGUGAUUUCACCAGGGCGAGGCUUGUCUAUUGCAGUCUGGAUGUGCUGACCCCUGCGAUUUCCCCAAAUAUGGGAAACUCGAUUGCAUAAUUUGUGGUAGUGGGGGACUGCAUUCACACUCUCCCCUG